This 349-nucleotide ribosomal RNA is filed under the name Vibrio parahaemolyticus. RNAcentral's name for it is "bacterial SSU rRNA". It matches the Rfam family "Bacterial small subunit ribosomal RNA", at positions 79 to 431 of the family's 1533-position model. Lineage: Bacteria; Pseudomonadati; Pseudomonadota; Gammaproteobacteria; Vibrionales; Vibrionaceae. The record is from RNAcentral.
ACGAUAACGGCGUCGAGCGGCGGACGGGUGAGUAAUGCCUAGGAAAUUGCCCUGAUGUGGGGGAUAACCAUUGGAAACGAUGGCUAAUACCGCAUGAUGCCUACGGGCCAAAGAGGGGGACCUUCGGGCCUCUCGCGUCAGGAUAUGCCUAGGUGGGAUUAGCUAGUUGGUGAGGUAAGGGCUCACCAAGGCGACGAUCCCUAGCUGGUCUGAGAGGAUGAUCAGCCACACUGGAACUGAGACACGGUCCAGACUCCUACGGGAGGCAGCAGUGGGGAAUAUUGCACAAUGGGCGCAAGCCUGAUGCAGCCAUGCCGCGUGUGUGAAGAAGGCCUUCGGGUUGUAAAGU